UUGACCUCAAAUCAGGUAGGACUACCCGCUGAACUUAAGCAUAUCAAUAAGCGGAGGAAAAGAAACUAACAAGGAUUCCCCUAGUAACUGCGAGUGAAGCGGGAAAAGCUCAAAUUUAAAAUCUGGUGGUCUUUGGCCAUCCGAGUUGUAAUCUAGAGAAGUGUUAUCCGCGCUGGCCCGUGUACAAGUCCCCUGGAAUGGGGC
Molecule: ribosomal RNA, 204 nt
Filed under: Pleurotus abalonus
Lineage: Eukaryota; Fungi; Basidiomycota; Agaricomycetes; Agaricales; Pleurotaceae
Description: partial large subunit ribosomal RNA
Rfam family: Eukaryotic large subunit ribosomal RNA
Source: RNAcentral